RNAcentral lists this ribosomal RNA (1332 nucleotides) under Junonia hedonia. Its description in RNAcentral is "16S ribosomal RNA". The record is from RNAcentral. Lineage: Eukaryota; Metazoa; Arthropoda; Insecta; Lepidoptera; Nymphalidae.
GGGGUAAAUUAAUAAUUUUAAGGUUAAUAAAAAAAAUUUUAAUAUUAAAAAGAAAAAAUGGGGGUUUAAGUAUUUUUAAUAGAAAAAAUUAAUAUUUUUAUAGUUAAAUAUUACUGUAAAGGAAUUUAUAAAUAAAUGAAAUAAAAUUAAUUAAAAAGUAAAUUUUAAUUGUUGUAUCUUGUGUAUCAGAGUUUAUUAAAUAAUAAUAGUUUAUUUAAAUAAAUCUCGAAUUUAAAAGAGUUAAUUAAUUAAUAAAGUUAAUGUUGAAUAAUUAUUUUAAAUAAUUAAUUAGAAAUGAAAUGUUAAUCGUUUUUAAAUAUAUCUAGUUUUUUCAGAAAAAAAUUUAAUUUUAAAUUUAAAUAAUUUUAUAAUUAUUUAAUUAAUUAUAAAAAUUUGAAUUUUAAUAUUUUAGGGGAUAAGCUUUAAAUUAAAAAUUUAUAAUUAAAUAAUUUAAAAAUUAAAAUUUUUAAAAUUUAUAUUGUUUAAAAAUUAUAAUUUAUUAUAAAAAAUUUUAUUAAAAAAAAAAUUUAAAAUAAAAAAAUUUAAAUUUUUAUGAAAAAAUAGUUUAUAAUUAAAUAAAAUUAGAAAUAAUGAUGAAAUUAGUAUAAUAUAAUAAAUUAAAUUAAAUUUAUAAAUAAGUAAAUUGAAGGAAUUCGGCAAAAAUUUAUAUUCACUUGUUUAUCAAAAACAUGUCUUUUUGAUAAUAAUUUAAAGUCUAAUCUGCCCACUGAUAUAAAUAUUAAAGGGCUGCAGUAUAUUGACUGUACAAAGGUAGCAUAAUCAUUAGUCUUUUAAUUGAAGACUUGUAUGAAAGAUUUGAUGAAAUAUAAACUGUCUCUAAUUUAUUAUUAGAAAUUAAUUUUUUAGUUAAAAAGCUAAAAUAAUAUUAAAAGACGAGAAGACCCUAUAGAGUUUUAUAUUUUAUUUAUUUAAUAUUAAAUAUAUAAUUAAAUUAUAUGAAAUAAAUAAAAUAUUGUAUUGGGGUGAUAGAAAAAUUUAAUAAACUUUUUUUAAAAAAUGAACAUAAAUAAGUGAUUAAUUGAUCCAUUAAUAAUGAUUAAAAGAAAAAAUUACCUUAGGGAUAACAGCGUAAUAUUUUUUUUUAGUACAAAUAAGAAAAAAAGUUUGCGACCUCGAUGUUGGAUUAAGAUAAAAUUUAAAUGCAAAAGUUUAAAAUUUUGAUCUGUUCGAUCAUUAAAAUCUUACAUGAUCUGAGUUCAAACCGGUGUAAGCCAGGUUGGUUUCUAUCUUUAAUAAAAUAAAAUAUUUUAGUACGAAAGGAUCAAAUAUUUAAAAUAAUUUUAUUUAAUUGAAUAUUAAUAAUAUUAUUUU